UACGGAGGGUGCAAGCGUUAUCCGGAAUUACUGGGUGUAAAGGGCGCGUAGGCGGCUUCCUAAGUCAGGUGUGAAAGCCUAUCGCUUAACGAUAGAAUUGCAUUUGAAACUGUAUAGCUUGAAAGGGGUUGAGGUCAGCAGAAUGUGUCAUGUAGCGGUGAAAUUCAUAGAUAUGCCAUAGAACACCGAUGGCGAAGGCAGCUGUCUGGGCCUACUUUGACGCUGAGGCACGAAAGCGUGGGGAGCGAACAGG
RNAcentral lists this ribosomal RNA (253 nucleotides) under uncultured bacterium. Its description in RNAcentral is "partial 16S ribosomal RNA". It matches the Rfam family "Bacterial small subunit ribosomal RNA", at positions 524 to 776 of the family's 1533-position model. The record is from RNAcentral.